Molecule: long non-coding RNA, 419 nt
Organism: Priapulus caudatus
Lineage: Eukaryota; Metazoa; Priapulida; Priapulimorpha; Priapulimorphida; Priapulidae
Exons: 4
Source: RefSeq, a predicted model, not a curated record
UAUACAUGUACACAAGCAGAAUCAGCAGUAUGAAAAACUGAGGCGAAAUCUUGACUUCGAAUUCGUCAAUUUCAGAGAACCAGUGGCAGUCAUUACCUACGUUUACGAUAAAUAUUUGCGGCGCGGCGCAGGAGGACGAGCGAGGAGGAGGAGGAUGCGUGAGGGAACGAUGCCGGGAUCGCGGGACCACGUCGACACCGCCCUGCUCAUGGACAUGGAGAGGCUGCACACCGGUGACCAUGACGACGAUGACGGCGUCGGCGGCGGCGACGACGUUUACCCGAUGUCCGUCAUCGUGACGGGGGUCGAUGGCGGCGUGUUCGUGGACGAGAUGCGACGGCACGUCUUUGAGGCCCACUUCCGACAGUUUGAUCCCGAGGCGGAGUUCGCUUACCUUCGCAGCUUCUUAGAGCGAAGAU